This 125-nucleotide ribosomal RNA is filed under the name Acinetobacter towneri. RNAcentral describes it as "partial 16S ribosomal RNA". It matches the Rfam family "Bacterial small subunit ribosomal RNA", at positions 1 to 124 of the family's 1533-position model. Lineage: Bacteria; Pseudomonadati; Pseudomonadota; Gammaproteobacteria; Moraxellales; Moraxellaceae. The record is from RNAcentral.
UAACUGAAGAGUUUGAUCAUGGCUCAGAUUGAACGCUGGCGGCAGGCCUAACACAUGCAAGUCGAGCGGGCGAGGUUGCUUCGGUAACUGAGCUAGCGGCGGACGGGUGAGUAAUGCUUAGGAAU